Molecule: long non-coding RNA, 999 nt
Organism: Panthera uncia (snow leopard)
Lineage: Eukaryota; Metazoa; Chordata; Mammalia; Carnivora; Felidae
Exons: 3
Source: RefSeq, a predicted model, not a curated record
AAGAAGGCACAAAUCUACACCCAGUGCGACAGAGCUCUGACCCCCUAACGCCAGUUGGAGAAAAAGGAAGGAUCCAACAAAUGAGGGCUGCUUACAGAACACCAGCUGGCCUGACGUGACUUCUCCAGCACCAUCUGCCUCCAAACAGGCUCUCACCUGGGCUCCAGGCUGCUUCCUGGGGGAGCCCCAGGCUAUGAGCAAUCCUGAUCCCCACUGAUAGCCACCUCUCCAGAGGGCCUCCUUUGGGAGCGACCAGUUGUCCAGGUAUCAGAUUCAGUCUCUCACCCUCAGGCAAGCGUGAAACUAACCUUCUCUGAUGACCUUCUUUCAAGCCUUCUGCUCCCUGUCUGCUCCUGAAGUGCCUUUCAAGAAAGGAAGCGUGCUCUUCUUUUCUCCUUUUUCUUGGAAAUGUUGUUGUGAUGGCUGGAGCUCAAGCAGUCAGCUGGGACCCUGAAGUGAAAGUCAGAUGCCAGAGAAUACAGAGCGGCUCAAUUCUUAAUGACAUAUGUUCGAGUAUAACAGUCAGUUGAAAGGUCAAAGAAACUGAUCAAAUUUCACUGGAGAGUAACCAAACGUAAAUAAUAAUCACUUUAUAUUUUUAAGAAUGACACUAAAAAAUAAGGCAAUAUUUUUUAAUUUUUUUUUUACAUUUAUUUAUUUUUGAGACACAGAGAGACAGAGCACAAGUGGGAAGGCGCAGAGAGAAAAGGAGCCAGAAUCUGAAGCAGGCUCCAGGCUCUGAGCUGUCAGAACAGAGCCCGACGUGGGGCUCGAACUCACAAACUAUGAGAUCAUGACCUGAGCCGAAGUUGGACGCUCAAUCAACCGAGCCAUCCAGGCGCCCCAAUAAGGCAAUAUUUUUAACUGGGAAGGAAUUCUUGAUACGGUUUUAAGAGAUUGAGCUGUUGUAUUAAUGAAUAAAUUUUCACAUCUCAAAAAUGUAAAUGCCAAAAUACAAUGAAAUCAAGCUUUCUUGCUGAAUUAAAUGAUUUUGAUGUC